RNAcentral lists this transfer RNA (73 nucleotides) under Tylototriton kweichowensis (red-tailed knobby newt). RNAcentral describes it as "tRNA-Asx". The record is from RNAcentral. Lineage: Eukaryota; Metazoa; Chordata; Amphibia; Caudata; Salamandridae.
GUAGACUAAAGCUUGUUGGAUUGAGCGUUUAGUGUUAACUAAAAGGUCGCGGGGUUAGAGCCUGCUAGUCUAG